This 373-nucleotide ribosomal RNA is filed under the name uncultured organism. RNAcentral describes it as "partial 16S ribosomal RNA". It matches the Rfam family "Bacterial small subunit ribosomal RNA", at positions 527 to 896 of the family's 1533-position model. The record is from RNAcentral.
GUAGGUGGCAAGCGUUAUCCGGAAUUAUUGGGCGUAAAGCGCGCGCAGGCGGUUUCUUAAGUCUGAUGUGAAAGCCCACGGCUCAACCGUGGAGGGUCAUUGGAAACUGGGGAACUUGAGUGCAGAAGAGAAAAGCGGAAUUCCACGUGUAGCGGUGAAAUGCGUAGAGAUGUGGAGGAACACCAGUGGCGAAGGCGGCUUUUUUGGUCUGUAACUGACGCUGAGGCGCGAAAGCGUGGGGAGCAAACAGGGAUUAGAUACCCUGGUAGUCCACGCCGUAAACGAUGAGUGCUAAGUGUUAGAGGGUUUCCGCCCCUUUAGUGCUGCAGCUAACGCAUUAAGCACUCCGCCUGGGGAUACGGUCGCAAGACUG